This 445-nucleotide ribosomal RNA is filed under the name Neisseria flava. RNAcentral's name for it is "bacterial SSU rRNA". It matches the Rfam family "Bacterial small subunit ribosomal RNA", at positions 30 to 469 of the family's 1533-position model. The record is from RNAcentral. Lineage: Bacteria; Pseudomonadati; Pseudomonadota; Betaproteobacteria; Neisseriales; Neisseriaceae.
AUUGAACGCUGGCGGCAUGCUUUACACAUGCAAGUCGGACGGCAGCACAGAGAAGCUUGCUUCUUGGGUGGCGAGUGGCGAACGGGUGAGUAACAUAUCGGAACGUACCGAGCAGUGGGGGAUAACUAAUCGAAAGAUUAGCUAAUACCGCAUAUUUUCUGAGGAAGAAAGCAGGGGACCAUUGGGCCUUGCGCUGUUUGAGCGGCCGAUAUCUGAUCAGCUAGUUGGUGGGGUAAAGGCCUACCAAGGCGACGAUCAGUAGCGGGUCUGAGAGGAUGAUCCGCCACACUGGGACUGAGACACGGCCCAGACUCCUACGGGAGGCAGCAGUGGGGAAUUUUGGACAAUGGGCACAAGCCUGAUCCAGCCAUGCCGCGUGUCUGAAGAAGGCCUUCGGGUUGUAAAGGACUUUUGUCAGGGAAGAAAAGGGCGGGGUUAAUACCCC